This 448-nucleotide ribosomal RNA is filed under the name uncultured bacterium. Its description in RNAcentral is "partial 16S ribosomal RNA". It matches the Rfam family "Bacterial small subunit ribosomal RNA", at positions 329 to 794 of the family's 1533-position model. The record is from RNAcentral.
GUCCAGACUCCUACGGGAGGCAGCAGUGGGGAAUAUUGCACAAUGGGGGAAACCCUGAUGCAGCGACGCCGCGUGAGUGAAGAAGUAUUUCGGUAUGUAAAGCUCUAUCAGCAGGAAAGAAAAUGACGGUACCUGACUAAGAAGCCCCGGCUAACUACGUGCCAGCAGCCGCGGUAAUACGUAGGGGGCAAGCGUUAUCCGGAUUUACUGGGUGUAAAGGGAGCGUAGACGGUGAAGCAAGUCUGAAGUGAAAGGCGGGGGCUCAACCCCCGGACUGCUUUGGAAACUGUUUGACUGGAGUGCAGGAGAGGUAAGUGGAAUCCCUAGUGUAGCGGUGAAAUGCGUAGAUAUUAGGAGGAACACCAGUGGCGAAGGCGGCUUACUGGACUGUAACUGGCGUUGAGGCUCGAAAGCGUGGGGAGCAAACAGGAUUAGAUACCCGCGUAGU